UUAAGCGACUAAGCGUACACGGUGGAUGCCCUGGCAGUCAGAGGCGAUGAAGGACGUGCUAAUCUGCGAAAAGCGUCGGUAAGGUGAUAUGAACCGUUAUAACCGGCGAUGUCCGAAUGGGGAAACCCAGUGCAAUUCGUUGCACUAUCGUUAACUGAAUACAUAGGUUAACGAGGCGAACCGGGGGAACUGAAACAUCUAAGUACCCCGAGGAAAAGAAAUCAACCGAGAUUCCCCCAGUAGCGGCGAGCGAACGGGGAGCAGCCCAGAGUCUGAAUCAGCUUGUGUGUUAGUGGAACGGUCUGGAAAGUCCGACGGUACAGGGUGAUAGUCCCGUACACCAAAAUGCACAGGCUGUGAACUCGAAGAGUAGGGCGGGACACGUGGUAUCCUGUCUGAAUAUGGGGGACCAUCCUCCAAGGCUAAAUACUCCUGACUGACCGAUAGUGAACCAGUACCGUGAGGGAAAGGCGAAAAGAACCCCGGCGAGGGGAGUGAAAAAGAACCUGAAACCGUGUACGUACAAGCAGUGGGAGCACCUUCGGGUGUGACUGCGUACCUUUUGUAUAAUGGGUCAGCGACUUAUAUUCUGUAGCAAGGUUAACCGUAUAGGGGAGCCGCAGGGAAACCGAGUCUUAACUGGGCGUUAAGUUGCAGGGUAUAGACCCGAAACCCGGUGAUCUAGCCAUGGGCAGGUUGAAGGUUGGGUAACACUAACUGGAGGACCGAACCGACUAAUGUUGAAAAAUUAGCGGAUGACUUGUGGCUGGGGGUGAAAGGCCAAUCAAACCGGGAGAUAGCUGGUUCUCCCCGAAAGCUAUUUAGGUAGCGCCUCGUGAAUUCAUCUUCGGGGGUAGAGCACUGUUUCGGCUAGGGGGUCAUCCCGACUUACCAACCCGAUGCAAACUACGAAUACCGAAGAAUGUUAUCACGGGAGACACACGGCGGGUGCUAACGUCCGUCGUGAAGAGGGAAACAACCCAGACCGCCAGCUAAGGUCCCAAAGUCAUGGUUAAGUGGGAAACGAUGUGGGAAGGCACAGACAGCCAGGAUGUUGGCUUAGAAGCAGCCAUCAUUUAAAGAAAGCGUAAUAGCUCACUGGUCGAGUCGGCCUGCGCGGAAGAUGUAACGGGGCUAAACCAUGCACCGAAGCUGCGGCAGCGACACUAUGUGUUGUUGGGUAGGGGAGCGUUCUGUAAGCCUGCGAAGGUGACCUGUGAGGGUUGCUGGAGGUAUCAGAAGUGCGAAUGCUGACAUAAGUAACGAUAAAGCGGGUGAAAAGCCCGCUCGCCGGAAGACCAAGGGUUCCUGUCCAACGUUAAUCGGGGCAGGGUGAGUCGACCCCUAAGGCGAGGCCGAAAGGCGUAGUCGAUGGGAAACAGGUUAAUAUUCCUGUACUUGGUGUUACUGCGAAGGGGGGACGGAGAAGGCUAUGUUAGCCGGGCGACGGUUGUCCCGGUUUAAGCAUGUAGGCUGGUUAUCCAGGCAAAUCCGGAUAAUCAAGGCUGAGGUGUGAUGACGAGGCACUACGGUGCUGAAGUAACAAAUGCCCUGCUUCCAGGAAAAGCCUCUAAGCAUCAGGUAACAUCAAAUCGUACCCCAAACCGACACAGGUGGUCAGGUAGAGAAUACCAAGGCGCUUGAGAGAACUCGGGUGAAGGAACUAGGCAAAAUGGUGCCGUAACUUCGGGAGAAGGCACGCUGGUGUGUAGGUGAAGUCCCUGCGGAUGGAGCUGAGACCAGUCGAAGAUACCAGCUGGCUGCAACUGUUUAUUAAAAACACAGCACUGUGCAAACACGAAAGUGGACGUAUACGGUGUGACGCCUGCCCGGUGCCGGAAGGUUAAUUGAUGGGGUUAUCCGUAAGGAGAAGCUCUUGAUCGAAGCCCCGGUAAACGGCGGCCGUAACUAUAACGGUCCUAAGGUAGCGAAAUUCCUUGUCGGGUAAGUUCCGACCUGCACGAAUGGCGUAAUGAUGGCCAGGCUGUCUCCACCCGAGACUCAGUGAAAUUGAACUCGCUGUGAAGAUGCAGUGUACCCGCGGCAAGACGGAAAGACCCCGUGAACCUUUACUAUAGCUUGACACUGAACAUUGAGCCUUGAUGUGUAGGAUAGGUGGGAGGCUUUGAAGCGUGGACGCCAGUCUGCGUGGAGCCAACCUUGAAAUACCACCCUUUAAUGUUUGAUGUUCUAACGUUGGCCCCUUACCGGGGUUGCGGACAGUGUCUGGUGGGUAGUUUGACUGGGGCGGUCUCCUCCCAAAGCGUAACGGAGGAGCACGAAGGUUAGCUAAUCCUGGUCGGACAUCAGGAGGUUAGUGCAAUGGCAUAAGCUAGCUUGACUGCGAGCGUGACGGCGCGAGCAGGUGCGAAAGCAGGUCAUAGUGAUCCGGUGGUUCUGAAUGGAAGGGCCAUCGCUCAACGGAUAAAAGGUACUCCGGGGAUAACAGGCUGAUACCGCCCAAGAGUUCAUAUCGACGGCGGUGUUUGGCACCUCGAUGUCGGCUCAUCACAUCCUGGGGCUGAAGUAGGUCCCAAGGGUAUGGCUGUUCGCCAUUUAAAGUGGUACGCGAGCUGGGUUUAGAACGUCGUGAGACAGUUCGGUCCCUAUCUGCCGUGGGCGCUGGAGAAUUGAGGGGGGCUGCUCCUAGUACGAGAGGACCGGAGUGGACGCAUCACUGGUGUUCGGGUUGUCAUGCCAAUGGCACUGCCCGGUAGCUAAAUGCGGAAGAGAUAAGUGCUGAAAGCAUCUAAGCACGAAACUUGCCCCGAGAUGAGUUCUCCCUGAGACUUUAAGUCUCCUGAAGGAACGUUGAAGACGACGACGUUGAUAGGCCGGGUGUGUAAGCGCAGCGAUGCGUUGAGCUAACCGGUACUAAUGAACCGUGAGGCUUAACCUU
Molecule: ribosomal RNA, 2899 nt
Filed under: Klebsiella pneumoniae
Lineage: Bacteria; Pseudomonadati; Pseudomonadota; Gammaproteobacteria; Enterobacterales; Enterobacteriaceae
Description: 23S ribosomal RNA
Rfam family: Bacterial large subunit ribosomal RNA
Source: RNAcentral